ACGUCUGAAAUUUACGUCUUUAAGACGUCUUAAAGACGUUACGAAGCGAACGAUAUUUCGACGUCUGAAGUUUACGUCUUCGAAACGUCUUUAUAAAUGUUACGAAGUGAACGUUGUUUCGACAUCUCAAAUAUAUCUUUGAAGUUGUUUUUUUUUUAAUGUUUCAUAUGCUAUGCUCCUGCUAAAGUAGUAGUUAAACACAGAAAAGGUCGUACAGGAUACUAUUCUUGAACUAAAUGCAAUUUAUAUAAUGGAGACAGGAGAGUGGACGGUGUUACAAUUUGUUGACGAUGGUACCGUUGAAGCAGUGCCAUCAACAUGGAUAGACGGAGACAGAGUGAACAUUUAUAGAAAUGGCACUUUUGAUAAUUGUAUGAAGGCCAGAGGUAAGACAAAAACAAUAGAAGACACACAUCUGCAAUCGGAGAUUGAGUCAACGUUGCACAAAAGAAAAAGAAAACAAAACAUAUUGGCGAAAAGUGAUGGCUCAUGCGUGGAUGAAGAAUGUACUCUUCCAAAAAUAAAACAAGAGUGGGAGAUCGCUACUCCACAGAUCAUUGAUGAAGAAUCAUUGAAGAGAGAAAGAGAGGAAGAAAAUUAUAGUGAGCAGUGUAGUAUUGGAAAUCAAGCUGUAAAUACCUGCUGCAAAAGAUGCCUGGAGAGGGAUUCAACAUUAAAGACAAUAAUAGAGCAGAACCAUUUGAUACGGGGUCUUUUAACAGAUGUACUCAAGGAGUUACGGGAACUGAAAGACGACAAAAAGAAAGCAGAAGAUAGAAAAAAAUUCUUUUUGCAGAAGUUUCCACAGCUGCAAUUCCCCUUGCGCACAGAGAAGGAUAUUUCAACAUUUGAAAAUAUUUUAAACAACAGAGAAGAGUUUGAAGAUGGAGUUCAGGAAUUAUACAAGAUGGGGGGAGACAAUUGUUACCAGUUUGUAAAAAGGGUGCUAGCAACACUCAUAACCAAUGACUUGGCAUUACAGUAUAGUUGGAUGGGAAGAAAAGCAAAGAAAGCGUUUAACAAAUUAAACACGGCUAAUCUGAUAAUAUGUGCUGCAGAAAAGGCAAGAAUCGCUGCCAAUAGGAAAGACACUGAGAUGUCCAUUCAACAAUGGCUGAAAAGGGCGUCCGACAGAACCAACGUCUAUAGACGUAUUUAAGAUGCCCAAGUAAUAGCCUUUACUUAAGUUAAUAUAGUCUUUACUUAUACGUGUUUACACCUGUAUAACAAGAAGGACGAGCACACGAGACAUACAAUAUCGCCGCUAUAGGCACGCACACAUACAUGAAUGUCUGAAUGAUAAGGAGCAUUCAAAUCAUAAUGAUGAUGGGAUCUACUGCAUGCAAUCAGAGCAAAUAAAUAUCGACCCUCGCUGACGGAUUAAGCUGCGGCCUGGAGGUGUGCAGAAGUAGUUUACCACGCGGUUACCACUGGAACUAAUGUUCGAACAGUGUCGUGCAAUAUACAAGUGAAAAUCACCUUAAAGGACGACGAGACUCUAGAUCCUGUCGUCCUAAAUUUAUGGCAUCAGCAACCUGACACCUUAUUUGAUCGGCAAGUAGCAAGGCAUUGAUCCUGUACAAUAUGCAUGGUAAGCAAACUGCUUGUCUCCACAACGACGCCGGGAAAGGAUGAAUUGCACAUAAUUCGGAAACAAGGAUUUGCUUUUGUUCUAAAUUUUCUCGUUUCGCGCGUUUCGUCUCUUCGCUACUGGUAGGUAAGGCAACACCUUUUCGAUUCACAUAUCUGAAAUGAUAUUAUUAACUAAUAACAGUCUCUUGAUCUUGUAUAUAAAAAUAUAAUAUGUGUUCGUUGAAUAUUUACCGAGGCGUCAAGAAGUUUAAUCUAGCCGAUGUAUGAUCCACAUCCAAUAAUGGUUGAACUACAUUUUGUAUAUUGAUAUCGUACUUUUUCAGAUAAUAUUCUUCGAAUGUACUAUAACCUUCUCCAGGAAAAGUUGACUUGGGGUUUAAAUUUACACAGAUUUCAGCAACGUAGAAAUACUAAAAUGGAGAAACAUCUGUUAUACCUUUGGACAUAAUUUGGUUAGUAUUUGCAGCAUUACAUUCCCCCUCUUAUUCGCUGCCCCACUACCGCGGUCAUCGAUCGCUAUUGGCCGCAAACGGUGUAAGAGAGGGAAUGGAAACGCACAAGGUGCCUUUUUUGUCGCGUGAGGACUAUACAGAGAUAAGUAUAAUUCUACAAUUAAAAUUUCAAACGCGGACUAUAAUAAUAUUUUGUGAAACUAUGUUAUUUAAUGUUAUUUAAUUAUUCUAUUUCAUCAGAUAACUUUCUAGCCAGUUACCUGAGGUUGAUCCUGACUUCUAUACCAAGGCAUAAUCACUGCAUCAUGAUAUUGCGAUGCAUCGAACUUGAAGUCUUUACGAACCUCUUCCGGAAUCUUCGCUGGGACAGAAUUCCGACUGUUGUAUAUACACUCCAAGAAAUCCCAAUCUACUCUAACGUUUAAUUCCUCCUCUACAAAGUUAAAAAUACGACAUUGUAUAUUAUUAAGUGUAUAACGUAAGAUCAGCGAUUUCUAAGAAUGUUUAUAAUCACCUAGUCUUACAGGUACAAUCAUAUACGAAUUUUCAGACGUAUUAGGAUCAAAAAGCAUUAAAUAUUGUUGUAAUCUUAACACAUUUGUAAAGGUAUAAUUGAGGAAAGCAGAAACUUUCUCGAUCUGCGUGUCAUUUAAAACUACAGGUUUCUUGCUGAGUUUCAAUUUUACAUGAACUUCUCCAGAUCUGGUAUAGAUUGGAAAAGGGCAUAGCUGAAAAAAAAAGAAUUUGAUAUUAAUUAAUAAAAGAAGUAACAGCUGUACAAAAUGUAUUUUUCAUGUGUUAUUAAGUGUGUAAGAUAUUUCUAAAAUUGCCUCGAUUCAGGCUUAUCGAUAUAGACUGUUUAGUUUAAGAAAAGUACAGAUAUAGGAGGAGGAAAAAUAAUUUAACCCAAACCAAGUGUUGGGACACCCUAUAGACAUUGAAACCGGCGUCGCUCCUACUUUAUCGACUGCUGGACUUGACAGGCCAUGCGACGCGAUAAUAGGAACUAUCACACAAAGAUUCAUGCAUAUUAAUGUCUAGAUAGACAUUUAAUGUGUUAGUGUCGUCCCUACACGUUGCUUUCAAUGUAUAGCAUUAAAGUUUCCUCGUGAAGCUUGCAAACUAUUAAAUA
Megalopta genalis is the source of this 3177-nucleotide non-coding RNA. The record is from RefSeq and is a predicted model, not a curated record. NCBI's taxonomy places the organism in Eukaryota, Metazoa, Arthropoda, Insecta, Hymenoptera, Halictidae.